Molecule: ribosomal RNA, 432 nt
Filed under: uncultured bacterium
Lineage: Bacteria
Description: bacterial SSU rRNA
Rfam family: Bacterial small subunit ribosomal RNA
Source: RNAcentral
AUGAAUGCUGGCUGUAUGGAUGAGUCAUGCAAGUCGAACGGUCCGCAAGGACAGUGGCAGACGAGGUAGUAACACGUAGGUACGUACUCCAAAGUCGGGCAUAGCCAACCGAAAGGUUGGGUAAUUCCCGAUAGUCCCGCAAGGGUAAAGAUUUAUCGCUUUGGAAGCGGCCUGCGUAGUAUCAGCUUGUUGGUAAGGUAAUGGCUUACCAAGGCUACGACGCUUAGGGGAGCUGAGAGGCUGACCCCCACCGAUGGGACUGAGACACGGCCCAUACUCCUACGGGAGGCCGCAGACGAGAAUACUCCGCAAUGGACGCAAGUCUGACGGGGCGAUACAGCGUGGUGGACGAAGUGCUUCGGCACGUAAACACCUUUUAUGUGGGACGAAAUUAUUGACGGUACCACAUGAAUAAGGGGCUCCUAACUCUGU